RNAcentral lists this transfer RNA (76 nucleotides) under Caudoviricetes sp. Its description in RNAcentral is "tRNA-Thr". It matches the Rfam family "tRNA". Rfam says of the family: Transfer RNA (tRNA) molecules are approximately 80 nucleotides in length. Their secondary structure includes four short double-helical elements and three loops (D, anti-codon, and T loops). Lineage: Duplodnaviria; Heunggongvirae; Uroviricota; Caudoviricetes. The record is from RNAcentral. RNAcentral also lists the same sequence under 1 other name.
GCUGACAUAGCUCUAAUGGUAGAGCGGUUGCUUCGUAAGCAAUAGGUUCAGAGUUCGAGUCUCUGUGUCAGCUCCA